RNAcentral lists this ribosomal RNA (601 nucleotides) under bacterium 35-L049640-122-012-C05. RNAcentral's name for it is "bacterial SSU rRNA". It matches the Rfam family "Bacterial small subunit ribosomal RNA", at positions 68 to 683 of the family's 1533-position model. The record is from RNAcentral.
GAUGACUCCAGCUUGCUGGGGGGAUUAGUGGCGAACGGGUGAGUAACACGUGAGUAACCUGCCCUUGACUCUGGGAUAAGCGUUGGAAACGACGUCUAAUACCGGAUACGACCAGCCUCGGCAUCGGGUGUUGGUGGAAAGAAUUUUGGUCAAGGAUGGACUCGCGGCCUAUCAGGUAGUUGGUGAGGUAAUGGCUCACCAAGCCUACGACGGGUAGCCGGCCUGAGAGGGUGACCGGCCACACUGGGACUGAGACACGGCCCAGACUCCUACGGGAGGCAGCAGUGGGGAAUAUUGCACAAUGGGCGAAAGCCUGAUGCAGCAACGCCGCGUGAGGGACGACGGCCUUCGGGUUGUAAACCUCUUUUAGCAGGGAAGAAGCGAAAGUGACGGUACCUGCAGAAAAAGCACCGGCUAACUACGUGCCAGCAGCCGCGGUAAUACGUAGGGUGCAAGCGUUGUCCGGAAUUAUUGGGCGUAAAGAGCUCGUAGGCGGUUUGUCGCGUCUGCUGUGAAAACCCGAGGCUCAACCUCGGGCCUGCAGUGGGUACGGGCAGACUAGAGUGCGGUAGGGGAGAUUGGAAUUCCUGGUGUAGCGGUG